AUGAACGCUGGCGGCGUGCCUAAUACAUGCAAGUCGAGCGAACGGACGAGAAGCUUGCUUCUCUGAUGUUAGCGGCGGACGGGUGAGUAACACGUGGAUAACCUACCUAUAAGACUGGGAUAACUUCGGGAAACCGGAGCUAAUACCGGAUAAUAUUUUGAACCGCAUGGUUCAAAAGUGAAAGACGGUCUUGCUGUCACUUAUAGAUGGAUCCGCGCUGCAUUAGCUAGUUGGUAAGGUAACGGCUUACCAAGGCAACGAUGCAUAGCCGACCUGAGAGGGUGAUCGGCCACACUGGAACUGAGACACGGUCCAAACUCCUACGGGAGGCAGCAGUAGGGAAUCUUCCGCAAUGGGCGAAAGCCUGACGGAGCAACGCCGCGUGAGUGAUGAAGGUCUUCGGAUCGUAAAACUCUGUUAUUAGGGAAGAACAUAUGUGUAAGUAACUGUGCACAUCUUGACGGUACCUAAUCAGAAAGCCACGGCUAACUACGUG
This 496-nucleotide ribosomal RNA is filed under the name uncultured bacterium. RNAcentral describes it as "partial 16S ribosomal RNA". It matches the Rfam family "Bacterial small subunit ribosomal RNA", at positions 29 to 507 of the family's 1533-position model. The record is from RNAcentral.